GACGAACGCUGGCGGCGUGCCUAAUACAUGCAAGUCGAACGCAGUGGGGACGGGUGAGUAACAAGUGGGUAACCUCCCAUCAGAGGGGAUAACACGUGGAAACAGGUGCUAAACCGAUACAGAUGGAUGGACCCGGAGGUCAUGAGACAGUUGGUGAGGUAAAGGCUCACCAAGGCUACGAUGCAUAGCCGAUCUGUGAGGGGGAUCGGCCACACUUGGACUGUGACACGGUCCAGACUCCUACGGCAGGCAGCAGUAGGGAAUCUUCGACAAUGGACGAAAGUCUGAUCUAGCGAUGCCGCGUGAGUGAAGAAGGUUUUCGGAUCGUAAAGCUCUGUUGUUAGAGAGGCGUUAUCUGAACAGAAAGCCCCGGCUAACUACGUGCCAGCAGCCGCGGUAAUUC
RNAcentral lists this ribosomal RNA (403 nucleotides) under uncultured bacterium. RNAcentral describes it as "partial 16S ribosomal RNA". It matches the Rfam family "Bacterial small subunit ribosomal RNA", at positions 28 to 526 of the family's 1533-position model. The record is from RNAcentral.